UAGCCUUGACAUUGAUAGAAUACACCAGAGAUGGAGUAGUGCCUUUCGGGGAACUUGAAAACAGGUGCUGCACGGCUGUCGUCAGCUCGUGUCGUGAGAUGUUGGGUUAAGUCCCGCAACGAGCGCAACCCUCGUCCUUAGUUGCCAGCAGGUUAAGCUGGGCACUCUAAGGAGACUGCCUUCGUAAGGAGGAGGAAGGUGAGGACGACGUCAAGUCAUCAUGGCCCUUAUGGCUAGGGCUACACACGUGCUACAAUGGGGUAUACAAAGAGCCGCAAUACCGCGAGGUGGAGCAAAUCUUAAAAAUAUCUCCCAGUUCGGAUAGCAGUCUGCAACUCGACUGCUUGAAGUUGGAAUCGCUAGUAAUCGUAGAUCAGCAAUGCUACGGUGAAUACGUUCCCGGGUCU
This 407-nucleotide ribosomal RNA is filed under the name uncultured bacterium. Its description in RNAcentral is "bacterial SSU rRNA". It matches the Rfam family "Bacterial small subunit ribosomal RNA", at positions 976 to 1381 of the family's 1533-position model. The record is from RNAcentral.